This 30-nucleotide non-coding RNA is filed under the name Rattus norvegicus (Norway rat). The record is from RNAcentral. Lineage: Eukaryota; Metazoa; Chordata; Mammalia; Rodentia; Muridae.
UAUUAGAAUAAAUCACGAGUGGAAGUCUGU